This 85-nucleotide transfer RNA is filed under the name Felis catus (domestic cat). It matches the Rfam family "tRNA". From Rfam's summary of the family: Transfer RNA (tRNA) molecules are approximately 80 nucleotides in length. Their secondary structure includes four short double-helical elements and three loops (D, anti-codon, and T loops). Lineage: Eukaryota; Metazoa; Chordata; Mammalia; Carnivora; Felidae. The record is from Rfam by way of RNAcentral.
GCCCGGGUGGCUCAGUCGGUUGAGCGUCCGACUUCGGCUCGGGGCGUGAUCUCGCGGUCUGUGAGUUCGAGCCCCGCAUCGGGCU